AUACGAAGGUCCCAAGCGUUAUUCGGAAUCACUGGGCGUAAAGAGUACGUAGGCGGUUUGGUAAGUCAGGUGUGAAAUCCCGGAGCUCAACUCCGGAACUGCAUCCGAUACUGCCAGACUUGAGUAAUGGAGAGGCAGGUGGAAUUCUCGGUGUAGCAGUGAAAUGCGUGGAUAUCGAGAGGAAGACCAAUGGCGAAGGCAGCCUGCUGGACAUUUACUGACGCUGAGGUACGAAGGCUAGGGGAGCGAAAGGGAUUAGAUACCCUAGUAGUCC
This 274-nucleotide ribosomal RNA is filed under the name uncultured bacterium. RNAcentral's name for it is "partial 16S ribosomal RNA". It matches the Rfam family "Bacterial small subunit ribosomal RNA", at positions 523 to 796 of the family's 1533-position model. The record is from RNAcentral.